UGGCCCAACACCACCUAAUCCAAGGAUUUGAUUGGGCGACCUAGCCACCAAACACACUUUGCAAUUUUGACAGCUGUAGUUGCGGGCCAAUUCAAUAGCACUUGACCGGAGUUCCGCCGAAGUUUACUCUCUAAACCAGUGAAGAAUGGGCGUAGAAAUGGAACUCGUGGAUCUCCGACGAUUUGAUGGCUGAAUCCCCUCUUUAUGUAUCUAGAGCUCCAAGGCUAUUCAUUAAAGAGAUGAACAUGAGAAAAACCGAGUCUCAUGGCGGCGAAACAGCGUGUUGGCCCAUUUCAUAAGAGCUUUUCUGCGGUUGUGGUCCUAAUGGUAGUGGAAAGAGUAACAUAAAUUGAUGCAAUGUUGUUUGGGAAGCGAGCCAAACAGGGGGAGGUUGAGCAAAUAUCGUUGAUGAAGCCAAAAGCGCAAUCAGCCCAUGAUGAAGGCUUUCUGGAGUAUCUAGAAGAUAUUAUUGGAACCAACAAAUAUGUUGAGAAGAUUGCAGAAUCAUUGAAGCAAGCUGCAGGUGGAUGCUGAUUACAACUUACAAGAUAUGAAGAAGACCUAUGAAGACUUGGAGCUCAAAGGCAAAGGAUAUAAUAAAAAGCUUGAUGAUUUGUUUAUUGCUCUUUCAAAGCAUACUGAGCAGAAUCAAAAGGACUCGGUGGAUCCAGAAAAGCUUUAAACAACUUUUAGGAAUGACACUCUUGGCGAGACUUAUGACCAUAAUAAAGCUUUGGAGAUCAUUGCAAUUCUAGAAGUUCAACUAAAAGAGAUAAAUCCAAAUCUUGACUCGAUCUCUGAAACAAAUUAUCUGUGUGCAAUGAGAAAGUCCAAGAACUUGAUUUUGUUACCUAAGAGCAUGAUGAUAUAAAAAGCAAUAUGGCAAGUGGAGAAAGAGAAGGC
Solanum pennellii is the source of this 903-nucleotide long non-coding RNA. RefSeq lists it as uncharacterized. Lineage: Eukaryota; Viridiplantae; Streptophyta; Magnoliopsida; Solanales; Solanaceae. The transcript has 6 exons. The record is from RefSeq and is a predicted model, not a curated record.